CUCUUGUUUGUUUGUUCAUUUCCAUUUUGAGUGCCAAAGUAGGCCAGUUUUCAGUUGUAGUUUCCCAAAAAGGGCUCCUUCAUUUUCUGAGCAGAUAUGGAGUACACUCCUGCAACUCCUUCCCCCAUCCAGACUUCUUCCUCCAUCCAGCCUCCUUCCCCACAAUCUGAAUGGGCAGCAGAUGCCCCGGAGCGACUUGAGGGAGG
Molecule: long non-coding RNA, 206 nt
Organism: Pseudophryne corroboree (corroboree frog)
Lineage: Eukaryota; Metazoa; Chordata; Amphibia; Anura; Myobatrachidae
Exons: 3
Source: RefSeq, a predicted model, not a curated record